Molecule: long non-coding RNA, 366 nt
Filed under: Nicotiana benthamiana
Lineage: Eukaryota; Viridiplantae; Streptophyta; Magnoliopsida; Solanales; Solanaceae
Description: long non-coding RNA (NBEN_LNC034669)
Source: RNAcentral
CUAAAGGAAUACAAGAGUUGCAUUCAAUGAAUGUCUUGGUUCUGAACCUUAAGCCAACUAAUUUUCUUCUGAAUGAACAUGACGAAGUGUUCCUUGGUGACUUUGGGAUUCCGUAUCUUCUUCUUGAAGUUCAACCACCUGAUUCAGAUCUAGCAUUAAGGCUUGGAACUCCAAACUAUAUGGCUAGACUUUGGGAUUCUGUAUCUUCUUCUUGGAGUUCAACCACCUGAUUCAGAUCUAGCAUUAAGGCUUGGAACUCCAAAUUACAUGGCUCCUGAACAGUGGGAACCUGAGGUUAGAGGCCCAAUAACUUGCGAGACUGAUGCUUGGGGAUUUGGAUGCAGCAUUAUUGAGAUGUUGACUGGC